This 74-nucleotide transfer RNA is filed under the name Loxodonta africana (African savanna elephant). It matches the Rfam family "tRNA". From Rfam's summary of the family: Transfer RNA (tRNA) molecules are approximately 80 nucleotides in length. Lineage: Eukaryota; Metazoa; Chordata; Mammalia; Proboscidea; Elephantidae. The record is from Rfam by way of RNAcentral.
CUCUCUGUGGUGCAAGGGGUUAACGAGCUCAGCUGCAAACUGAAAGGUUGGUGGUUCGAGUCCACCUAGGGAAA